RNAcentral lists this long non-coding RNA (1185 nucleotides) under Ailuropoda melanoleuca (giant panda). RNAcentral describes it as "lncRNA (ENSAMEG00000031359.1)". The record is from RNAcentral. Lineage: Eukaryota; Metazoa; Chordata; Mammalia; Carnivora; Ursidae.
AGCUGCUUCAUUUAUACUUCGCUCAUCAAAAUACAGUUUUGUAAGAGUUAAUUGGCGGCCGGGUAGCCUUUCAGAUCCUUUUUUAUGAGCCUGUUACCGUCCCUGCUGUGUGGGCCAAGUGUUACCAGAGCCUUAACUUCAAAACACUGGUGUUCCGUCUGAAACUCAGGAGCUCUGGCGUUUGAGCGGGCACCAAACUUGGCCGAACGUUUUCUGCUGAUUUUCGGCUGAGCAGAGCUGGCAGUUGGGAAAGACUAGACUCUGGGCGUGGUUAUUAACUGUUUUCUCCCCUUAUGUUUUUCAGGCCAGCGACGCUCUGAGCAGGAGUCUGGGCCCCACGGCUGUGACAGAGCAUGCUGUGGGCGUCCACGUUUGCGCCGUGCAUGUGGUGUGUGGCCCACCGGCAGCUGCUUCAGCAAAGCUGGUCGCCUGGAUGCCGCACGGCUCGAAGUCUGACCGUUCGCACGGCCCGUUCCGCUCGCUGGUCCCCGGGCCUGUCCUCUGCCCGCGUGCACUGUACCCAGCACGGCAGACACGUAGCUCAGCGCAGCGUUUGCGGCUCUUCCGUGAGGAUUGAGGCUCUGCUGGGGGCUGACAGCGGUGUGGACGGUGACCGGCAGAAGUUGCAGCUGUGACCGGGGCUUGCAAAGCCAAGACAUCCUCAUUGCUCAGGAAACUGACCUGUACGGCAACCCAGCGGAUGGCCUGACUCCCCAGGUACGUAGCCGAGGACAGCUGAACGUGGUCAGGCCACCCCUGGGGCUGCCAGAGAUGCCCUUGUCCCCGGCCCCGAAUCCCACCCCACCACACCACACCCGGCCAGCUCUCUCCACCUCCCCAUUCUGCCAUAACGGGGCUGCCAGCUGCUGCCCUGAGUGACCUUCCCGCCGACCCAGCCGUCGGGGGCUGGCCCGUGGCUUCGAACCGCAGCCCUGGGCGCGGGAGGGGGUGCAGACAGCAGGGCAUCAGCAGGCCAGGCCCUCCUUCUGUGAUGUCCUCACCGCAUCUCCCUUGAGCCGGCGAUGGAACAGUUACGGUUUUAAUCAGGAAAAUAUUUGGGUUCACGCCCACUUUCUGUGAGCUGUCUUAUGAAGCGAUAUUGGCUUAUUUCACCCUUGACUGUCCUGAGAAGAUUCCAGGUCACAGAUGGAGAGACCAAGGCUAGACAAGGCUGGGUAUUGUGCC